Molecule: ribosomal RNA, 365 nt
Filed under: uncultured bacterium
Lineage: Bacteria
Description: partial 16S ribosomal RNA
Rfam family: Bacterial small subunit ribosomal RNA
Source: RNAcentral
CCUACGGGUGGCAGCAGUGAGGAAUAUUGGUCAAUGGACGAGAGUCUGAACCAGCCAAGUAGCGUGAAGGAUGACUGCCCUAUGGGUUGUAAACUUCUUUUAUAGGGGAAUAAAAUGUUCCACGUGUGGGAUUUUGUAUGUACCAUAUGAAUAAGGAUCGGCUAACUCCGUGCCAGCAGCCGCGGUAAUACGGAGGAUCCGAGCGUUAUCCGGAUUUAUUGGGUUUAAAGGGAGCGUAGGUGGAUUGUUAAGUCAGUUGUGAAAGUUUGCGGCUCAACCGUAAAAUUGCAGUUGAAACUGGCAGUCUUUAUUACAGUAGAGGUUGGCGGCAUUCGUGGUGUAGCGGUGCACUUCUUAGAUGUCAC